GAAAAUGGGAGAACAAGAUCUUCAACUUUCAUGUUGGGCAAAAAUUCAUUUGAAGCUUGUAUCAUGAUGUAAGUUGAGGAUCAAGAAGUUUCUAUUUUUGGCAGUUGAAAUUACAGGUCCAGUUUCUAUUUUGGGAAUUUUUCUGAUUUGCUUCAAAUUCUUCCAUGAUGUUGAUUGCCAUGACAUAUGAGGUUUAUUAGGACAUGAAUAAGCUCCUUCAAACCAUUUCUAUCCAUCA
This 238-nucleotide long non-coding RNA is filed under the name Lathyrus oleraceus (garden pea). RNAcentral describes it as "Pisum sativum (pea) long non-coding RNA (PSAT_LNC036514)". Lineage: Eukaryota; Viridiplantae; Streptophyta; Magnoliopsida; Fabales; Fabaceae. The record is from RNAcentral.